UACGUAGGGUCCGAGCGUUGUCCGGAAUUACUGGGCGUAAAGGGCGCGUAGGCGGCCUUCUAAGUCGAACGUGAAAUCCCCGGGCUCAACCCGGGAACUGCGUCCGAUACUGGAAGGCUUGAAUCCGGGAGAGGGAUGCGGAAUUCCAGGUGUAGCGGUGAAAUGCGUAGAUAUCUGGAGGAACACCGGUGGCGAAGGCGGCAUCCUGGACCGGUAUUGACGCUGAGGCGCGAAAGCCAGGGGAGCAAACGGG
Molecule: ribosomal RNA, 253 nt
Filed under: uncultured bacterium
Lineage: Bacteria
Description: partial 16S ribosomal RNA
Rfam family: Bacterial small subunit ribosomal RNA
Source: RNAcentral